CUCGUCUUUGUCAAACUAGACGAAUCUGAUUAUGGCAUCUAUAAGUGUUAUGCUUUUAAUCUUCUCGGAACCGCGUCGGUAAAACUAGAAAUCAGCGGAAAGCCUAUGAGACCGACAAUCCUCAGUCCAGUGACAGCGCCACGUCGCCAUGCAUACGAGCUUGUAUGGUCCCCAAAUAUCGUCACUACAUACGGCACAUAUCUGAGCAUCGACGAAUUUAUUGUGUCCUAUCGCCCUCUGCAUAGACCGAAUACCGACGUCAUCUUCGGAAACCAAACCUAUUCUAAAUGGUACCAAGAAGUGGUCCCAGUCUCCUCCGGACCUGAAGUCAUAUCACACGUCCUUCGAGAUCUCUAUGCAGGGACAUCCUACGAGCUUGUCCUGUUUGGAAGGAAUUCGUUAGGCAACGGAGAGAGCGCUAGACUUGUUUUCAACACAU
This is a long non-coding RNA of Lytechinus variegatus (green sea urchin), 439 nucleotides long. RefSeq lists it as uncharacterized. The record is from RefSeq and is a predicted model, not a curated record. NCBI's taxonomy places the organism in Eukaryota, Metazoa, Echinodermata, Echinoidea, Temnopleuroida, Toxopneustidae. The transcript is spliced from 3 exons.